This 705-nucleotide ribosomal RNA is filed under the name uncultured bacterium. RNAcentral's name for it is "bacterial SSU rRNA". It matches the Rfam family "Bacterial small subunit ribosomal RNA", at positions 685 to 1390 of the family's 1533-position model. The record is from RNAcentral.
AAUGCGUAGAUAUAUGGAGGAACACCAGUGGCAAAGGCGGCUCUCUGGUCUGUAACUGACGCUGAGGCUCGAAAGCGUGGGGAGCGAACAGGAUUAGAUACCCUGGUAGUCCACGCCGUAAACGAUGAGUGCUAAGUGUUGGAGGGUUUCCGCCCUUCAGUGCUGCAGCAAACGCAUUAAGCACUCCGCCUGGGGAGUACGACCGCAAGGUUGAAACUCAAAGGAAUUGACGGGGGCCCGCACAAGCGGUGGAGCAUGUGGUUUAAUUCGAAGCAACGCGAAGAACCUUACCAGGUCUUGACAUCCUUUGACCACUCUAGAGAUAGAGCUUCCCCUUCGGGGGCAAAGUGACAGGUGGUGCAUGGUUGUCGUCAGCUCGUGUCGUGAGAUGUUGGGUUAAGUCCCGCAACGAGCGCAACCCUUAUUGUUAGUUGCCAUCAUUUAGUUGGGCACUCUAGCGAGACUGCCGGUGACAAACCGGAGGAAGGUGGGGAUGACGUCAAAUCAUCAUGCCCCUUAUGACCUGGGCUACACACGUGCUACAAUGGGAAGUACAACGAGUUGCGAAGUCGCGAGGCUAAGCUAAUCUCUUAAAGCUUCUCUCAGUUCGGAUUGUAGGCUGCAACUCGCCUACAUGAAGCCGGAAUCGCUAGUAAUCGCGGAUCAGCACGCCGCGGUGAAUACGUUCCCGGGCCUUGCACACAC